Molecule: ribosomal RNA, 782 nt
Filed under: uncultured Bacillota bacterium
Lineage: Bacteria; Bacillati; Bacillota
Description: bacterial SSU rRNA
Rfam family: Bacterial small subunit ribosomal RNA
Source: RNAcentral
AGGAGAGUUUGAUCCUGGCUCAGGACGAACGCUGGCGGCGUGCCUAACACAUGCAAGUCGAACGGAGUAAAGAGCUUCGGUUUUUUACUUAGUGGCGAACGGGUGAGUAACGCGUGAGCAACCUGACUCUUUGAGGGGGAUAACAGUCGGAAACAACUGCUAAUACCGCAUAAGACCACGAACCGGCAUCGGUAUGAGGUCAAAGGAGCAAUCCGCAGAGAGAGGGGCUCGCGUCCCAUUAGAUAGUUGGCGGGGCAACGGCCCACCAAGUCCGCGAUGGGUAGCCGAGCUGAGAGGCUGAUCGGCCACACUGGAACUGAGACACGGUCCAGACUCCUACGGGAGGCAGCAGUGGGGAAUAUUGGGCAAUGGGCGCAAGCCUGACCCAGCAACGCCGCGUGAGGGAAGAAGGCUUUCGGGUUGUAAACCUCUGUCCUUGGUGACGAAACAAAUGACGGUAGCCAAGGAGGAAGCCCCGGCUAACUACGUGCCAGCAGCCGCGGUAAUACGUAGGGGGCGAGCGUUGUCCGGAAUUACUGGGCGUAAAGGGUGCGUAGGUGGCUGACUAAGUUGGAUGUGAAAUCCCCGGGCUUAACUUGGGGUCUGCAUCCAAAACUGGCCGGCUAGAGUGCAGGAGAGGAAAGCGGAAUUCCUAGUGUAGCGGUGAAAUGCGUAGAUAUUAGGAGGAACACCAGUGGCGAAGGCGGCUUUCUGGACUGUAACUGACACUGAGGCACGAAAGCGUGGGGAGCAAACAGGAUUAGAUACCCUGGUAGUCCCCU